CCUACGGGAGGCAGCAGUGGGGAAUAUUGGGCAAUGGGCGCAAGCCUGACCCAGCGACGCCGCGUGGGUGAUGAAGGCCUUCGGGUCGUAAAGCCCUGUCGGGUGGAAAGAAUGGUGAGGAGGGUUAACCUGCUCACGUGACGGUACCACCGAAGGAAGCACCGGCCAAUUCCGUGCCAGCAGCCGCGGUAAGACGGAAGGUGCAAGCGUUGCUCGGAAUCACUGGGCGUAAAGGGUGCGUAGGCGGCUUGGCGGGUCUGGUGUGAAAGCCCCGGGCUCAGCCCGGGAAGGGCACUAGAAACUGACAAGCUUGAGUACCGGAGGGGAGAGUGGAAUUCCUGGUGUAGCGGUGAAAUGCGUAGAGAUCAGGAGGAAUACCGGUGGCGAAAGCGACUCUCUGGACGGUAACUGACGCUGAGGCACGAAAGCGUGGGGAGCAA
RNAcentral lists this ribosomal RNA (440 nucleotides) under uncultured bacterium. Its description in RNAcentral is "bacterial SSU rRNA". It matches the Rfam family "Bacterial small subunit ribosomal RNA", at positions 338 to 771 of the family's 1533-position model. The record is from RNAcentral.